Long non-coding RNA from Bos taurus (domestic cattle), 657 nucleotides. The record is from Ensembl. Lineage: Eukaryota; Metazoa; Chordata; Mammalia; Artiodactyla; Bovidae.
AGAAGUGACACGUUGCUGCUGCUCCUCUGUCCAUGGGAUUUCCCAGGCAAGAAUACCAGAGUGGGUUGCCAUUUCCUCCUCCAGGGGAUCUUCACCACUCGGACUGAACCAGCGUCUCCUGAGUCUCCUGAAUUGGAUACAGUGUUUUGUGAACUGUAGUAGAUAUGGAGACAUGGUACUCAGCUCCUUCUUCCAGGAAGGACUUACUGCCCAGCAGCAGGAAGUGUGGUCCCCGGACAGCCUCCAACCAGCGGCUUCUUCAGGGUCAGCCUCAACAGCAGAGAACCACCUUGUCCGAGGUCAUGCUCUUCCUGGAAAGCUCACACUCUGGCUGAGCAAGGUACAGCUGCAUCAACCUGGCAAGGGACACAGGACACAUCAAUGAGCAACCUCCACUGGAUUAACCUGGGCUUUGCUGAGCCUGCCUCGAAGUUCAGCUGCUUUCUCCUCCCAGACCUGCUUCUUCUCCCUUUGGUUCACAAUAAGCAUCUUGAUUCUUAACAAACAUCUCAUACCACAAACUCCUUCUCAUGGUCUGCUUCUGAAGAACCCAGUCUGUGACACAAAGUGUCUUUUUAAGCCUGACCAUUUUCCUAUUGAGUUAUCUGUCUUUUUUUCUUACCAGUUUUGUCAGCAUUUUUUAUUUAAUAUGGAUAC